AACGAACGCUGGCGGCGCGCCUAAUACAUGCAAGUCGAGCGAGAAGACGUAGCAAUACGUUUGUAAAGCGGCGAACGGGUGAGGAAUACAUGGGUAACCUACCCUCGAGUGGGGAAUAACUAGCCGAAAGGUUAGCUAAUACCGCGUACGCUCCUUGGACUUCGGUUCAGGGAGGAAAGCGAUACCGUGGGUAUCGCGCUCUUGGAUGGGCUCAUGUCCUAUCAGCUUGUUGGUGAGGAACGGCUCACCAAGGCUUCGACGGGUAGCUGGUCUGAGAGGACGAUCAGCCACACUGGCACUGCGACACGGGCCAGACUCCUACGGGAGGCAGCAGUAAGGAAUAUUGCGCAAUGGGCGAAAGCCUGACGCAGCGACGCCGCGUGGGGGAUGAAGGUCUUCGGAUUGUAAACCCCUUUCGGGAGGGAAGAUGGAAU
Molecule: ribosomal RNA, 434 nt
Filed under: uncultured bacterium
Lineage: Bacteria
Description: bacterial SSU rRNA
Rfam family: Bacterial small subunit ribosomal RNA
Source: RNAcentral